UAGAGUUUGAUCCUGGCUCAGAACGAACGCUGGCGGCAGGCUUAACACAUGCAAGUCGAGCGCCCCGCAAGGGGAGCGGCAGACGGGUGAGUAACGCGUGGGAAACUACCCUUUGGUACGGAACAACUCCGGGAAACUGGAGCUAAUACCGUAUGUGCCCUUCGGGGGAAAGAUUUAUCGCCAUAGGAUGUGCCCGCGUAGGAUUAGCUAGUUGGCGGGGUAAUGGCCCACCAAGGCGACGAUCCUUAGCUGGUCUGAGAGGAUGAUCAGCCACACUGGGACUGAGACACGGCCCAGACUCCUACGGGAGGCAGCAGUGGGGAAUAUUGGACAAUGGGCGCAAGCCUGAUCCAGCCAUGCCGCGUGAGUGAUGAAGGCCUUAGGGUUGUAAAGCUCUUUCGCACGCGACGAUAAUGACGGUAGCGUGAGAAGAAGCCCCGGCUAACUUCGUGCCAGCAGCCGCGGUAAUA
RNAcentral lists this ribosomal RNA (470 nucleotides) under uncultured bacterium. Its description in RNAcentral is "bacterial SSU rRNA". It matches the Rfam family "Bacterial small subunit ribosomal RNA", at positions 1 to 525 of the family's 1533-position model. The record is from RNAcentral.